RNAcentral lists this long non-coding RNA (330 nucleotides) under Mytilus galloprovincialis (Mediterranean mussel). Lineage: Eukaryota; Metazoa; Mollusca; Bivalvia; Mytilida; Mytilidae. The record is from RNAcentral.
GUGUGUGCAAAAAGGGUGUAAAAUAUCAAAAAUACAUGUUAAUAAUUCACUUGAUUCAAGUCAUUUGUUGUUUCAAGAAGUUUGAACAUUAUACAUGUUCUUAUAUUUGUAUUGAAAUCUACACAAAUAUUCAUUACAACUGGCUUCUUAUGCCAUUCUUCAAUAACAUGAAAUUAAAAACAAACAAUAAGAUGUUGCUGUAUAUAUCAUUUUUUAACAUGAAGGACAGGGUGACAAUAUGUUUCAGUUCCCACUUUUAAGUAAUGUUUGAAAAUAAACUCUGAUAAAUAUUGCUUCAUUCUAAAAUAGCUUGUAAAAUUUAGAGACAAA